Molecule: ribosomal RNA, 112 nt
Filed under: Caerostris darwini
Lineage: Eukaryota; Metazoa; Arthropoda; Arachnida; Araneae; Araneidae
Source: RNAcentral
AACGGCCGUACCAUGCUGAAUAUACCGGUUCUCGUUAGAUCACCGAGGUCAAGCAUCAUUGGGCGCGGUCAGUACUUGGGUGGGUGACCACCUGGGAACACUGCGUGCCGUU